AUUGAACGCUGGCGGCAGGCCUAACACAUGCAAGUCGAGCGGAUGAAGGGAGCUUGCUCCUGGAUUCAGCGGCGGACGGGUGUGUAAUGCCUAGGAAUCUGCCUGGUAGUGGGGGAUAACGUCCGGAAACGGGCGCUGAUACCGCAUACGUCCUGAGGGAGAAAGUGGGGGAUCUUCGGACCUCACGCUAUCAGAUGAGCCUAGGUCGGAUUAGCUAGUUGGUGGGGUAAAGGCCUACCAAGGCGACGAUCCGUAACUGGUCUGAGAGGAUGAUCAGUCACACUGGAACUGAGACACGGUCCAGACUCCUACGGGAGGCAGCAGUGGGGAAUAUUGGACAAUGGGCGAAAGCCUGAUCCAGCCAUGCCGCGUGUGUGAAGAAGGUCUUCGGAUUGUAAAGCACUUUAAGUUGGGAGGAAGGGCAGUAAGUUAAUACCUUGCUGUUUUGACGUUACCAACAGAAUAAGCACCGGCUAACUUCGUG
This 484-nucleotide ribosomal RNA is filed under the name uncultured bacterium. RNAcentral's name for it is "partial 16S ribosomal RNA". It matches the Rfam family "Bacterial small subunit ribosomal RNA", at positions 30 to 507 of the family's 1533-position model. The record is from RNAcentral.